UGGCAGUACUGUGAAUGGGGCAGCAUUGUGUUUAGCUGUCCCAUAAGGUAUAUGUUUGAUGGCAGUACUGUGAAUGGGGCAGCAUUGUGUUUAGCUGUCCCAUAAGGUAUAUGUUUGAUGGCAGUACUGUGAAUGGGGCAGCAUUGUGUUUAGCUGUCCCAUAAGGUAUAUGUUUGAUGGCAGUACUGUGAAUGGGGCAGCAUUGUGUUUAGCUGUCCCAUAAGGUAUAUGUUUGAUGGCAGUACUGUGAAUGGGGCAGCAUUGUGUUUAGCUGUCCCAUAAGGUAUAUGUUUGAUGGCAGUACUGUGAAUGGGGCAGCAUUGUGUUUAGCUGUCCCAUAAGGUAUAUGUUUGAUGGCAGUACUGUGAAUGGGGCAGCAUUGUGUUUAGCUGUCCCAUAAGGUAUAUGUUUGAUGGCAGUACUGUGAAUGGGGCAGCAUUGUGUUUAGCUGUCCCAUAAGGUAUAUGUUUGAUGGCAGUACUGUGAAUGGGGCAGCAUU
Oncorhynchus keta (chum salmon) is the source of this 499-nucleotide long non-coding RNA. RefSeq lists it as uncharacterized. The transcript is spliced from 4 exons. NCBI's taxonomy places the organism in Eukaryota, Metazoa, Chordata, Actinopteri, Salmoniformes, Salmonidae. The record is from RefSeq and is a predicted model, not a curated record.